GUGAAUCAUCGAAUUUUUGAACGCAAAUUGCACUCUCUGGGAUUCCUGAGAGUAUGUCUGUUUGAGGGUCAGUUUAAAUAAAAAUCGUUGUGGUUGCUGCCUUUCGUGGUUACGCAUCGUCUUUGGGUCGUCUUGCUUUUGGUUAAGUGACCUUAAAUUUUUUUUGAUUUUUUUAGACGUAUUUAAAUUAUUUUUCUUACUUUUCUGUUAUUGAUUCCUGAGUCUGGUUAUCUUCGU
This 237-nucleotide unclassified non-coding RNA is filed under the name Glomeraceae sp. RNAcentral's name for it is "partial contains 5.8S ribosomal RNA and internal transcribed spacer 2". The stretch from base 1 to 71 matches the Rfam family "5.8S ribosomal RNA", at positions 84 to 154 of the family's 154-position model. Lineage: Eukaryota; Fungi; Glomeromycota; Glomeromycetes; Glomerales; Glomeraceae. The record is from RNAcentral.